Molecule: non-coding RNA, 346 nt
Organism: Cinara cedri
Lineage: Eukaryota; Metazoa; Arthropoda; Insecta; Hemiptera; Aphididae
Source: the annotation of a GenBank genome assembly
AGGCUGAAAUUAUCAGGUUCGGGUAGGUUAGGUUAUUAAAUUUCGUUAUCAAAUUAAACACAAAUGUAAAAAAAAAUGACUCAGCCUAACCUCGGAUUUCAUAAUAAUUUUAUCAUUCUAAUAUUAAUUUGUCCCCCUUAGACUGUACUUAGGUUGCACUUACAAUAAAACGUUAGAGUUAGGGGCACAACGCACAACUGCAAUCAUCUAGUAUAUUUCUGCCAUGGUUCAUUAGUUAAAACUUUUGGAUCCGAGUAGUUAACGCAUAAAAAAAGAUGUAGGUGUAACUGUAACUGGUGUAACUUGUGAAAUGAUAAUUUAAAAAAAAAUAAUUGUCUAGUUAUAG